RNAcentral lists this transfer RNA (73 nucleotides) under Microcaldota archaeon. RNAcentral's name for it is "tRNA-Pro". It matches the Rfam family "tRNA". Rfam says of the family: Transfer RNA (tRNA) molecules are approximately 80 nucleotides in length. Their secondary structure includes four short double-helical elements and three loops (D, anti-codon, and T loops). Lineage: Archaea; Nanobdellati; Microcaldota. The record is from RNAcentral.
GGGGGGUUGGGGUAGCCUGGCAUCCUACCAGCUUCGGGAGUUGGUGACACGCGUUCGAAUCGCGUACCCCCCA